This 482-nucleotide long non-coding RNA is filed under the name Aotus nancymaae (Ma's night monkey). RNAcentral's name for it is "lncRNA (ENSANAG00000039097.1)". The record is from RNAcentral. Lineage: Eukaryota; Metazoa; Chordata; Mammalia; Primates; Aotidae.
GGUACCUGGGUUCCCCUCCCUCCCUGCUCUACCUGGGCAAGAGUGAGUCCUUCCUCCUGCUCCAGCUCCUGGCUUAGGGCCAAGAAAGUCCAUGUGUGGAUUCUGGGAAAGCAAUUCUUCCAGGAAUCGGGGGUGAAUGACGGCCUCCACCUGGAAACAGAAGGGAGACGGUGUGAGCUUCCCGGGCAGGGAGUAACCUGGAGCCAAGGACACCUGGAGGAGAUGCAGAAAGCACCUCAAACUCCAGGAACCUGGGGUGAAGAAGGUGUAGGCCGUGCUGAGAGGGUCCAGGCCCUCUGCCCCCAGGACCAGGCAGCAGCUGAUGGCAGGGAUGGGAAGGAGGGUCCCUUCACUAGAGAGCCUGGCAGUUAACCCAGAUUGCACCACUGCAUUCUAGCCUGGGUGACCCAGCAAGACUCCAUCUUGAAAAAGAAACAAUGAAAGAAAACCACUGGAUGGAAAUCUCUCCCAAGCCAGCAGUA